This 253-nucleotide ribosomal RNA is filed under the name uncultured bacterium. RNAcentral's name for it is "partial 16S ribosomal RNA". It matches the Rfam family "Bacterial small subunit ribosomal RNA", at positions 524 to 776 of the family's 1533-position model. The record is from RNAcentral.
UACGGAGGGGGCUAGCGUUGUACGGAAUGACUGGGCGUAAAGCGCGCGUAGGCGGGCUGGAAAGUCAGGGGUGAAAUCCCGGGGCUCAACCUCGGAAUUGCCUUUGAAACUCCCAGCCUUGAGUUCGAGAGAGGUGAGUGGAAUUCCGAGUGUAGAGGUGAAAUUCGUAGAUAUUCGCAAGAACACCAGUGGCGAAGGCGGCUCACUGGCCCGGUACUGACGCUGAGGUGCGAAAGCGUGGGGAGCAAACAGG